This 500-nucleotide ribosomal RNA is filed under the name uncultured bacterium. Its description in RNAcentral is "partial 16S ribosomal RNA". It matches the Rfam family "Bacterial small subunit ribosomal RNA", at positions 30 to 523 of the family's 1533-position model. The record is from RNAcentral.
AUUGAACGCUGGCGGCAUGCUUUACACAUGCAAGUCGAACGGCAGCACGGACUUCGGUCUGGUGGCGAGUGGCGAACGGGUGAGUAAUACAUCGGAACGUGCCCAGUUGUGGGGGAUAACUACUCGAAAGAGCAGCUAAUACCGCAUGAGAACUGAGGUUGAAAGCAGGGGAUCGUAAGACCUUGCGCAACUGGAGCGGCCGAUGGCAGAUUAGGUAGUUGGUGGGAUAAAAGCUUACCAAGCCGACGAUCUGUAGCUGGUCUGAGAGGACGACCAGCCAUACUGGGACUGAGACACGGCCCAGACUCCUACGGGAGGCAGCAGUGGGGAAUUUUGGACAAUGGGCGAAAGCCUGAUCCAGCAAUGCCGCGUGCAGGAUGAAGGCCUUCGGGUUGUAAACUGCUUUUGUACGGAACGAAAAGCUUCGGGUUUAUACCCUGGAGUCAUGACGGUACCGUAAGAAUAAGCACCGGCUAACUACGUGCCAGCCGCCGCGGUAA